UAUGUGAUCGUCUCUCGCAUAUCAAUAAGCGGAGGAAAAGAAACUAACAAGGAUUCCCCUAGUAACGGCGAGUGAAGCGGGAAGAGCUCAAAUUUGAAAUCUUAAAGGGUUUCCCUUUACGAAUUGUAGUUUAAAGAAGUGUUUUCUGUUGAGGUUUUGGUAAAAGUUCUUUGGAAUAGGACAUCAUAGAGGGUGAGAAUCCCGUAUUUGACCUUUACUUUCAACUUUGUGAUACACUUUCAAAGAGUCGGAUUGUUUGGGAAUGCAGUCCAAAAUGGGUGGUAAAUUUCAUCUAAAGCUAAAUAUUGGCGAGAGACCGAUAGCGAACAAGUACCGUGAGGGAAAGAUGAAAAGAACUUUGAAAAGAGAGUUAAACAGUACGUGAAAUUGUCAAAAGGGAAGCGUUUGACACCAGUGUUGUUUUUCUGAAAAUCAAUUAAAGAACUGUUUAUGCUAAGUUGUUUAGACUUUAUCAGCUAACUGUUUAGUUUUGAGCUUUUCUUUAAUGCACUUUUCAGUUAACAAGUCAACAUCAAUUUCUUUUGCUGUAAAAAAGCUUGAGGAAGGUGGCUUGAGAUUCGUCUUAAGUGUUUAUAGCCUCUUGCCUAUGCAGUCGGAGAGAUUGAGGUCUGCAGCGUAGAUCCUUCGGGGCUAGAUACAUUUGUGCUAAGUUAUAGCAUUUUAUAGACAAUUUGUUGACUAUGAUUUGUCUUGUAGCUUACUCGCUUAUGUUAUUUUACCUACGCUUAGGAUGUUGAGUCAUCACACAUCUCU
This 774-nucleotide ribosomal RNA is filed under the name uncultured Neocallimastigales. Its description in RNAcentral is "partial large subunit ribosomal RNA". It matches the Rfam family "Eukaryotic large subunit ribosomal RNA", at positions 24 to 614 of the family's 3401-position model. Lineage: Eukaryota; Fungi; Neocallimastigomycota; Neocallimastigomycetes; Neocallimastigales. The record is from RNAcentral.